Molecule: ribosomal RNA, 235 nt
Filed under: uncultured bacterium
Lineage: Bacteria
Description: partial 16S ribosomal RNA
Rfam family: Bacterial small subunit ribosomal RNA
Source: RNAcentral
AGCAAAACUCAAAAAAUAGAUCUCAGUUCGGACUGUAGGCUGCAACUCGCCUACACGAAGUUGGAAUUGCUAGUAAUCGUGGAUCAGCAUGCCACGGUGAAUACGUUCCCGGGUCUUGUACACACCGCCCGUCACACCAUGGGAGCUGGUAACACCCGAAGUCAGUAGUCUAACCGCAAGGAGGACGCUGCCGAAGGUGGGAUUAGCGACUGGGGUGAAGUCGUAACAAGGUAUC